Molecule: long non-coding RNA, 500 nt
Filed under: Citrus x clementina
Lineage: Eukaryota; Viridiplantae; Streptophyta; Magnoliopsida; Sapindales; Rutaceae
Description: Citrus clementina (C. clementina) long non-coding RNA (CCLE_LNC004050)
Source: RNAcentral
UUUUUCUUUUGUUCUAGUUAAAGACGGAAGCAAUGCCUUCUUCUUCAAAAUGGCGAGCCCACCUUCUAGAAGGGUGGUGCCAGCAUGCUAUAUUUUUGUCAAUGGUUUGCUGCUGGUUUGGGUCAAUGGGUCCAAGUGGCUCAGCUGGGUUCGAUGCUGCUGUGUCACGUGAGUUCGAGUGGCUGCUGCUGCAUCACACAAGUUCCAGUGGCUGGUGCUGGGUUUGCUGGCAGCUGCUGCUACAUCGCGUGGGUGCAAGUGCAGGCUGCUGGUGCUGCGUUUGCUUCGUUGCUGCUGCCUGUUGCGUUACAUAGCUGCAGCUUGUGUUGUGUAGCUGCUGGUUCAGCUAACUGUUGGUGUAGAUGAAUGGGUUCAACUUUCAAUUUCAAUCGGUGAUGCCUGCUUGGGUUCCACCAUUGGGUGUCGGCUGGUGCUUUUAAAUUUUAGGAAUUGUUGUGUGACUUUUGAGAGACUGAAAUUUGACAAUUUCUUUUCUUUUG